Molecule: long non-coding RNA, 1151 nt
Filed under: Homo sapiens (human)
Lineage: Eukaryota; Metazoa; Chordata; Mammalia; Primates; Hominidae
Description: non-protein coding lnc-CBLB-5:3
Source: RNAcentral
AUGGUGACCAAACCUGUCAGAUUGUUUUUUAAAGAUGCUGAGGAGCAGAUUUCUCAUGGGGAGCACCUUCUGAUACAUUUUAAUACGUUUCUUACAGGCUAGUCAAAUAAAGCAGUGGGAGUGGAAAAGGAUCAAAGAAAUCUGUAACCGGUUAUGAUCAAUUAGUUGUAAACACCACUGCACGAGGACCAGCCCAAAGCUGCUACUUAACCAAGUGACUUUCUGAUUGCUCAACUGUGUUUCCACUGAGAAAAAUGCAUUGAAAUGAAACAUCUCAUUUCCAGUACUGUCCUGAGGCAAAAAGAGACAAUGAUACGUAUCUCCAAUUUAGACUGGAUGAAACUAGCCACAUUUCAAAUAAAGAAGUCACAUUGUAAGUGUAAAACGACGUUAACCUUAAAGGAGACAUUUCCGCCCUGUAUAACUAUGCACAGCUUCAACUAAUGGUAUAUGAACUGUGUCUACAAACCAAAGGACAUUUUUCUAAAGAAACUUUAAAUAUAGAAAAUUAACUCAAACCUUACCUUAGAGCUUCCUCCUCUAUUGUCUUUUCCUGUAGUGGUAGUCUCUGUGGCACUUACAGGUGGUAAACAAAUAAAAAAGUGUCUUAUUGAAUUAACUUGAUUGCCAUAUUGAUCAGUUUUAUGUGUUUUUAUUCUUAAGCAUAACAAUAAAAGAAAAUGAUUAAGCAAUGUUUUGCUUAAAAAAAAAAGAUUUCAUGGCAGAGAAGCAAUUGAGUCCAGUUAAGAGACAGUUAAGAACAUUUUUCAGUUUGGAGCUUUUGUUUUGUGAUGAGAACUUUGCCAGUUAGUCACAAAUGAACUUGAGCACAUUUUCUUGAGCGUGAUGGCUGAACAGAUGAGCCACACACACUUUAUAGUGAGUUUUACUGCACUGAGUCUUUACCUACUAUUCCUAGUAGUUACACAUAUUAAAUUAUUAAUAACUGAUCAACAUUUUAAAAGAAGGUUUCAAAAGAAAUGUAAUUAGAUUUUAUAGUUGAGUUUUAGCUAAUGUGUGAUUCCACAAAAGUUCAGGUGCCGAGAUUACAUUUCAAUUUAUACUUGCCAUCUGCUAGAAUAUUCCCCUCUGUCUACAGCAUCCUGACCAGAUCUCCAAAUUUUGAAAUCUGUUUUCAUUAUUCAAGACUC